This 492-nucleotide ribosomal RNA is filed under the name uncultured bacterium. RNAcentral describes it as "partial 16S ribosomal RNA". It matches the Rfam family "Bacterial small subunit ribosomal RNA", at positions 29 to 507 of the family's 1533-position model. The record is from RNAcentral.
AGUGAACGCUGGCGGUAGGCCUAACACAUGCAAGUCGAACGGCAGCACAGUAAGAGCUUGCUCUUACGGGUGGCGAGUGGCGGACGGGUGAGGAAUACAUCGGAAUCUACUUUUUCGUGGGGGAUAACGUAGGGAAACUUACGCUAAUACCGCAUACGACCUACGGGUGAAAGCAGGGGAUCUUCGGACCUUGCGCGAUUGAAUGAGCCGAUGUCGGAUUAGCUAGUUGGCGGGGUAAAGGCCCACCAAGGCGACGAUCCGGAGCUGGUCUGAGAGGAUGAUCAGCCACACUGGAACUGAGACACGGUCCAGACUCCUACGGGAUGCAACAGUGGGGAAUAUUGGACAAUGGGCGCAAGCCUGAUCCAGCCAUACCGCGUGGGUGAAGAAGGCCUUCGGGUUGUAAAGCCCUUUUGUUGGGAAAGAAAAGCAGCAGGUUAAUACCCCGCUGUUCUGACGGUACCCAAAGAAUAAGCACCGGCUAACUUCGUG